UGUCGGGAACUUAUAGCAACUGGAGCAUGUUCUCCAAAAAGGAACUAACAAAUCAAAGGACUGCAAGACUUUUGCUUGUUAAUAAUAUAGGCAGGCUAUUUUCAUAUGCUUUCACUUCUUUGUUCACAGUGGUCCCAAUUCGCCGUGCGCUGUCCAUCCAAAGUUUGAGUGAAGCCGAGGACCCGUGGGAGGGGGUCACACUGAACCGCUGUCUGGUAGUGGCAGUCAUUGUCUUAGUGAUCAGCUCCAGCAUUCAAUGCCUGAAUGAAGCUCUGGAGGCUUUUGGGAGGGAGGCUGAGGAAUCAGGAGCAGUGGAGGGAGGUGCACUGAGUAUAACCCCAGAGGAGGUACACCUGUCUCCUUUUCUGUCUGUACAUUUUGAAUCACCUUGCAGGAAGUACCGUACCAAAACAGUACAUACCAGGAUAUCACAUUACAAUUGCCGAUAUGCAGAAAGUCAUGGAAAAGGAUUCAUGGUGAAUCUCAUUUCCACGUGCCUUGCAGGAGAGCUCUGUGUGGGAAAGCCUGUUCUGGUGGAGAAGAGCGCAAGAAGAUGAUGAUGAUGAUGAUGAUGACGAUCAAGACACAGCAGAAAAACCAAGGAGAAAGAAAGCACAGGGGGAGUUUGUGAGGGUCAGGCAGAAGGAAAAACCCUGGAAAGGCAUCUUGGUUGAAAAGGAGGAUGGGGAAGUUAGGGGAAAACGUGAAAAGGAACGGGGCCGGUGGCAGGAAGAGGAGGAAGGAAGAGUGAGGGGGAAGAAAGACAGAAGGAGAGAUGGGUGAAGAAGACUGAGAGGUCCAGGAUAUAUCGGCGAGAGGGAGAACACACACUUUUCAUCCUCAUCCUUUUGUGUUCAUUGGGAAGAAGGAUGGUUCAGUCACCGAGGCACCCAGUCUACACCUUUCCAUAUCUGCAAAAAUUACACUGACACACAACAUCAUUUGGAUGUGGCCACUGAAAGCUGGGAAAAUAUUCUCCCAUUAAUUUACUUUCAUUGAAAGCAACAGAAAGCAAUUUUUCCACUAUUAAAUGUUUCUCCUUAACGUCUUCAUUAAACCGAUCAAAGAAUGCGACUUAAUACGGUUCGCUGCUAUUUUCUCGGAAAUGUUUGCGUUACGCCACGCGUCCCUGGAGGUACUUAUUGUCACCGACUACAUCUUGGUUCCGUUUUGAUACCAAAACAUUUAAUCAGUUCACAGGGUUCACCUGCAGAUAUGCUGCUGAAGUAGCAUUAGUCCAAGUACAUCAUCAACAGUCACGGCAUUUGCAUUCAAGGCUUAGCAAAAUUCCAGAGUAAUUUAUGCAGUUAUACAGUAUAUAAAUCACAGCA
RNAcentral lists this long non-coding RNA (1331 nucleotides) under Scleropages formosus (Asian bonytongue). Its description in RNAcentral is "lncRNA (ENSSFOG00015026009.1)". The record is from RNAcentral. Lineage: Eukaryota; Metazoa; Chordata; Actinopteri; Osteoglossiformes; Osteoglossidae.